Molecule: ribosomal RNA, 498 nt
Filed under: uncultured bacterium
Lineage: Bacteria
Description: partial 16S ribosomal RNA
Rfam family: Bacterial small subunit ribosomal RNA
Source: RNAcentral
GGGGGGGGGGGGGGGGGGGGCGAGUGCGUGCAAGUCGAAGGAGAGCGGCCGGUGCUUGGACUGGGCAAUCUGGUGGCGAGCGGGUGAGUAACGCGUGGGUACCCUGCCCAUCAGAGGGGGAUAACAGCCGGCAACGGCUGCUAACACCGCAUAGGUCUUCGAGGCGCCUUGCUUGAGGGGGAAACGCGGGGCGAGCUUCUGCUGAUGACUGGACCCGCGGUGCAUUAGCUAGUUGGUGAGGUAACGGCUCACCAAGGCCGUGAUGCAUAGCCGACCUGAGAGGGUGAUCGGCCACAUUGGGACUCAGACACGGCCCAAACUCCUACGGGAGGCAGCAGUAGGGAAUCUUCCGCAAUGGACGCAAGUCUGACGGAGCAACGCCGCGUGAGUGAAGAAGGUUUUCGGAUCGUAAAACUCUGUUGUUAGAGAAGAACAAGUGCUAGAGUAACUGUUAGCGCCUUGACGGUAUCUAACCAGAAAGCCACGGCUAACUACGUG